RNAcentral lists this long non-coding RNA (321 nucleotides) under Ricinus communis (castor bean). RNAcentral's name for it is "long non-coding RNA (RCOM_LNC002148)". Lineage: Eukaryota; Viridiplantae; Streptophyta; Magnoliopsida; Malpighiales; Euphorbiaceae. The record is from RNAcentral.
CGAAAGCCCUCAUUUUAUAAGAAGAAGAAACUAGAACCAAAAUACUUCAUUACAUGCAUCCCAAACUUCGAACCCGUGCAUUCCCACUUGGAUUAAUCGAAAGAAACAUGAUUUCUCCCUUACUCUCGAGGAUUUACAUCUCGUCCUGCUUGAUCAUUAAGUCACGCUCCAAUGCCACUUGUCAAGCUUGUCAAUGUCGUUCCCAUGAUUCCUUAUGCCAAUCUUCAUAUCAUCACAAGUCCUAGUGCCUAGAGGAACAAGAAAUGGUGGAGAUUCCAAUAUUGAAAAUUUGGACUCUGAAUAAUAGGGCGUGUCUUGAUU